RNAcentral lists this ribosomal RNA (508 nucleotides) under uncultured bacterium. Its description in RNAcentral is "bacterial SSU rRNA". It matches the Rfam family "Bacterial small subunit ribosomal RNA", at positions 791 to 1301 of the family's 1533-position model. The record is from RNAcentral.
UAGUCCACGCUGUAAACGAUGAUCACUAAGUGUUCGGCCUUCGGGUUGAGUGCUCAAGCGAAAGCGAUAAGUGAUCCACCUGGGGAGUACGGUCGCAAGACUAAAACUCAAAGGAAUUGACGGGGGCCCGCACAAGCGGUGGAUUAUGUGGUUUAAUUCGAAGCAACGCGCAGAACCUUACCUAGGCUUGAAAUCCUACGAAUCUGGUGUAAUGACCGGAGUGCCCGCAAGGGAAUGUAGUGACAGGUGCUGCAUGGCUGUCGUCAGCUCGUGUUGUGAAAUGUUGGGUUAAGUCUCGCAACGAGCGCAACCCCUAUCUUUAGUUGCCAGCAUUAAGUUGGGCACUCUAGAGAGACUGCCCGGGUUAACCGGGAGGAAGGUGGGGAUGACGUCAAGUCCUCAUGGCCCUUAUGCCUAGGGCUACACACGUAAUACAAUGGCACGCACAAAGGGAAGCGACCCAGCGAUGAUGAGCAAAUCUCAAAAAGCGUGUCUCAGUUCGGAGUUG